RNAcentral lists this ribosomal RNA (468 nucleotides) under uncultured Telmatospirillum sp. RNAcentral describes it as "bacterial SSU rRNA". It matches the Rfam family "Bacterial small subunit ribosomal RNA", at positions 11 to 523 of the family's 1533-position model. Lineage: Bacteria; Pseudomonadati; Pseudomonadota; Alphaproteobacteria; Rhodospirillales; Rhodospirillaceae. The record is from RNAcentral.
GUUUGAUCCUGGCUCACAACGAACGCUGGCGGCAUGCUUAACACAUGCAAGUCCAACGAAGUCUUCCGACUUAGUGGCGCACGGGUGAGUAACGCGUGGGAAUCUACCCUGAAGUGGGGAAUAACCACUGGAAACGGUGGCUAAUACCGCAUACGCCCUCCGGGGCAAAGGCUUCGGCCGCUUUAGGAUGAGCCCGCGUCCGAUUAGCUAGUUGGUGGGGUAAAAGCCUACCAAGGCAACGAUCGGUAGCUGGUCUGAGAGGAUGAUCAGCCACACUGGGACUGAGACACGGCCCAGACUCCUACGGGAGGCAGCAGUGGGGAAUAUUGGACAAUGGGGGAAACCCUGAUCCAGCAAUGCCGCGUGAGUGAAGAAGGCCCUAGGGUUGUAAAGCUCUUUCGGCGGGGAAGAUGAUGACGGUACCCGCAGAAGAAGCCCCGGCUAACUCCGUGCCAGCAGCCGCGGUAA